This 235-nucleotide unclassified non-coding RNA is filed under the name Glomeromycetes sp. RNAcentral describes it as "partial contains 5.8S ribosomal RNA and internal transcribed spacer 2". The stretch from base 1 to 71 matches the Rfam family "5.8S ribosomal RNA", at positions 84 to 154 of the family's 154-position model. Lineage: Eukaryota; Fungi; Glomeromycota; Glomeromycetes. The record is from RNAcentral.
GUGAAUCAUCGAAUUUUUGAACGCACAUUGCGCUUCCUAGCAUUCCGGGAAGUAUGCCUGUUUGAGGGUCAGUAUUAACAAAGAAAUCUGUUUGGUUGCCAAUUGUGACGCUUCCGGAGUUUAGGCAAUCUCUACUUUUUUGGUUAAUGGGCUUAACUUGGACCUUUUUUGCGCAUUUUUAGACGUACAUACAUUUUUUUUUUCAUUGGUUUAUCCUCUAUGCCAAAAUCUUAUU